Molecule: long non-coding RNA, 593 nt
Organism: Myiozetetes cayanensis
Lineage: Eukaryota; Metazoa; Chordata; Aves; Passeriformes; Tyrannidae
Exons: 3
Source: RefSeq, a predicted model, not a curated record
CCCCGGGCCCUCAGGGCGAAAUGGCGGCACAGGCCGCGCUGAGUGGAGCUCUUUCGGGACAUUCCGGGCACCCCUGCCCGGCCCCACCGGCCCGCCCGCGCCUCUGACCCCGGUCUUCUGACUUUUAAGAACUGCUCAGAGAGAAGAGCUGCUGAGGAGGUGGCGUGAGCUCUAACCUCUUCAGGAAUGUUCUGGAAUAUUGAAGACUGCUAAAGCAGAGGAAAGAAGCGGCAAACUUGUGGUGAGAAGGUGACAAAACCAGAAGCAGAGCUACAACUGUCUCUGAAAAUGUACCUGCAGGGCUGCUGGGUAAACAGCCUGUUUGACAUGACCGUGUGGGAGAGGCUGACACUUUCCUUUGCAGAUAAAUUGCUGUGGGAGGCUUUUGAUUUCAGACGCAAUCAUCAGGAUUUUAAACUUUUUUGCAACAUUAUUUUUUCAACACACUUGAUCUAGUUGUUGAACUUAAUCUUUGCUGGUUUAUUUCCUGCAUAAUUACCUUGCUCUGAUUUUUCAAAUAAAUACUUACAGGCUUUCAGGCAGGGUUUUGUAUUAGUCAGGCUUUUUUUUCUGUGGGUAAAUACUGCUUUUAA